This 253-nucleotide ribosomal RNA is filed under the name uncultured bacterium. RNAcentral describes it as "partial 16S ribosomal RNA". It matches the Rfam family "Bacterial small subunit ribosomal RNA", at positions 524 to 776 of the family's 1533-position model. The record is from RNAcentral.
UACAGAGGUGGCAAGCGUUGUUCGGAAUUACUGGGCGUAAAGGGCGCGUAGGCGGCUUGGUCAGUCCCGUGUGAAAUCCCUCGGCUCAACUGAGGAACUGCACGGGAAACUGCCUGGCUUGAGUUCGGGAGAGGGAAGCGGAAUUCCGGGUGUAGCGGUGAAAUGCGUAGAUAUCUGGAGGAACACCGGUGGCGAAGGCGACGUCCUGGACCGGCAUUGACGCUGAGGCGCGAAAGCCAGGGGAGCAAACGGG